This 497-nucleotide ribosomal RNA is filed under the name uncultured bacterium. RNAcentral describes it as "partial 16S ribosomal RNA". It matches the Rfam family "Bacterial small subunit ribosomal RNA", at positions 28 to 507 of the family's 1533-position model. The record is from RNAcentral.
GAUGAACGCUGGCGGCGUGCCUAAUACAUGCAAGUCGAGCGAACAGACGAGGAGCUUGCUCCUUCGACGUUAGCGGCGGACGGGUGAGUAACACGUAGGUAACCUACCUAUAAGACUGGGAUAACUUCGGGAAACCGGAGCUAAUACCGGAUAAUAUUUCGAACCGCAUGGUUCUAUAGUGAAAGAUGGCUUUGCUAUCACUUAUAUAUGUACCUGCGCCGUAUUAGCUAGUUGGUAAGGUAACGGCUUACCAAGGCAACGAUACGUAGCCGACCUGAGAGGGUGAUCGGCCACACUGGAACUGAGACACGGUCCAGACUCCUACGGGAGGCAGCAGUAGGGACUCUUCCGCAAUGGGCGAAAGCCUGACGGAGCAACGCCGCGUGAGUGAUGAAGGUCUUCGGAUCGUAAAACUCUGUUAUUAGGGAAGAACAAACGUGUACGUAACUGUGCACGUCUUGACGGUACCUAAUCAGAAAGCCACGGCUAACUACGUG